UACGGAGGAUCCAAGCGUUAUCCGGAAUCAUUGGGUUUAAAGGGUCCGUAGGCGGUUUAAUAAGUCAGUGGUGAAAGCCCAUCGCUCAACGAUGGAACGGCCAUUGAUACUGUUAGACUUGAAUUACAAGGAAGUAACUAGAAUAUGUAGUGUAGCGGUGAAAUGCUUAGAUAUUACAUGGAAUACCAAUUGCGAAGGCAGGUUACUACUUGUGGAUUGACGCUGAUGGACGAAAGCGUGGGGAGCGAACAGGAUUAGAUACCCUGGUAGUCCACGCCGUAAACGAUGGAUACUAGCUGUUGGGGGUAACUUCAGUGGCUAAGCGAAAGUGAUAAGUAUCCCACCUGGGGAGUACGUUCGCAAGAAUGAA
Molecule: ribosomal RNA, 370 nt
Filed under: uncultured bacterium
Lineage: Bacteria
Description: bacterial SSU rRNA
Rfam family: Bacterial small subunit ribosomal RNA
Source: RNAcentral